AAUAGAUACCCGGGUAGUCCACGCUGUAAACUUUGGAUACUAGGUGUGGCGGACUACCAACGUCUGCCGUGCCGAAGCUAACGCAUUAAGUAUCCCGCCUGGGGAGUACGGCCGCAAGGCUAAAACUCAAAGGAAUUGACGGGUCCCCGCACAAGCGGCGGAGCAUGCGGCUUAAUUCGAUGCAACCCGAAGAACCUUACCUGGGAUUGACAUCAUGGGAAAAGCUCUAGAAAUAGGGUGUCCGUAAGGGCCCAUGACAGGUGGUGCAUGGCUGUCGUCAGCUCGUGUCGUGAGAUGUUGGGUUAAGUCCCGCAACGAGCGCAACCCUCGUUCUAUGUUGCCGAGCGGUUCGGCCGGGGACUCAUAGAAGACUGCCGGGGAUAACUCGGAGGAAGGUGGGGACGACGUCAAGGUCAUCAUGCCCCUUAUAUCCAGGGCUGCACGUCAUGCUACAAUGGCCGGUACAACGGGCAGCGACCGUCGCGAGAGUGGAGCGGAAUCCUUUAAAAGGCCGGCCCCAGUUCGGAUUGAACGUCUGCAACUCGUA
RNAcentral lists this ribosomal RNA (547 nucleotides) under uncultured bacterium. RNAcentral's name for it is "bacterial SSU rRNA". It matches the Rfam family "Bacterial small subunit ribosomal RNA", at positions 777 to 1316 of the family's 1533-position model. The record is from RNAcentral.